This is a long non-coding RNA of Helianthus annuus (common sunflower), 2251 nucleotides long. RefSeq lists it as uncharacterized. The record is from RefSeq and is a predicted model, not a curated record. The transcript has 4 exons. Lineage: Eukaryota; Viridiplantae; Streptophyta; Magnoliopsida; Asterales; Asteraceae.
UUAACCACUCCUUAUACCCUGAAGACACAGAUUAGUUAUAGAGAGAGACAAAAUUAGCCGGGUAGAGAGAGCGGAGCGACGGUGAUGGAGGAACGGACGGUGGUCUCCGUCCGGCCACGGACCGGUGGUUUUGACGCAACAAACAACGGUAGAAUUUGACACACUCGCUUUUUAGAAUCCAGAUGAGGGUUGUUUUUAGAGAAAGGGGCGUUCACCUGCUGUUACGGGUGAUGUUCCGGCCAUGACGGCGGCGGAUCUGUGUACCAAGUCACCACCGUCGUUCACCAUCUCCACCACCCUCAUCUUCAAAAUUCGUCCAAACUUCAGCAACCAACUUCGUGCACAAAAAAAAAUCCGAUUUAUCUCUCAUUCAAAUCAGUGAUGGCGAUAAAUAAGCAAUCAGUGGUAAAUUCUUUCAUUAUGAUCAUUCUCUCUGUAUUUCGAUCUGCUUUAUUAUGAUUUUCGUUCACCUCUUUUGCUAUUUCUAGGGUUUCAUCAUCUAAUUUGUGAAAUUUGAGCAUACAACCGUUAGUUGUUUGUUAAACUACUUUAUGAUGUUAAUAGGUGUAGAAUGGAUUGAUUUUUGUUGAAAUAGGUUGUGUAUAAUUUCUCCGUUUACUGAAUCAUGAAUAGGUUUUGUUCACCUGCAAUUGUUGUGAGAGUUUAAAUAAGUAGUUAUGGAGCCCUAGCUCUUUGAAUUAGAGGUUGUUUAGGUUUUUUUUUUUUGAAAUAUGUUGAUUUUUUUUAUUUAGAUUGAGUUUUCCAGACUUAUAGAAUUAUGAUCAUUGUUUGAAGUGAAAUAUAUCUCUUUAGCACCAGCUAGGUCCUUAUACAAACUCAUAAGUUAGAAAAAAAGAGCUUUUCCUUUUUGGUCUGUUGUGCUUUGAACAUUUAGUUCUUUUCAUUGAUACUUUUAACAAUUAAAUCACAUCUCAGACCAAUUAAUAAACCUUUUUUCUAACAGCAAACCAGUUGAUAAACUGUCGCAACAUACUCUGCUACAAAUUGAUAUGAUACACUACAAAAGACUAUUCUUUGAAUCAUCACUUUUAAAAUUUUUUCUGCAUUCUGAUAAUCCCCUUUGAUUUGAUGAGACUACCCCACAUUUACUUCAACACCCAUGUUGAAGAAAAUCUUUAACGGCCAUGCCACUCUGCUCGACAAGGAAUUGCGUUCGUCACGCACUUUCUGGAACGACUUUUUUCAGGUUUUUGAUUUGUGGGUUUUUUUUUGUUUGGGUUGUUUAAGUGUGGCGGAUUUACUUUAAUGGGUUGUUGAUUGCUUGCAAUUGUAACACUAACUUCACUUUCUUAAACUCAACGUCAAAGGUCUUUAACAUGCCAAAUAUAUGCAGGUUAGGUUUCUCAAUUUUCAUUCGUCUCCGCACUUCAGUUCAAUCUUCUUACAAUUUUGCUUUUGAUCGUUGUUGCACUUGCAUAAAUUUCUAACCUGAAUUGAUUGAUACUUAGGGUAUGUACAGAAGCUCCUUAGAAGCUAAGGCGAGGUCGUUGAUGUUACCUUAAUCUCGCACAAUCUUAACAGAGUUGGUAUAAGUUACCUUGAAGACGUCUUUGUUGCUUAUCAUGUUAUCGGAUCCUCGAGGAACGAGGUUCAGAUAUUAGAACUUCCCACCUAGGGCUGAAAGACGUGUUUGGUAAAUUUCGCUCUUUAGCACCGAUUUACUGGUCUCAUAUUUCUUAUUAUCAUAACCAAGUUUGUAUCUUUGUUCAUAAAUCAUGUUACAUUAUCUUUAUUUUGGUUCCUAGCUAACUCAACUUAGAAGCAGGUGUAUGGAUUUCACAUUUGUUCAAAUCUCAGCCUAAAAAAAAUGAAAGCCUCUGUUACAAAUGUGUAUGGAUUUCACAUUUGUUCAAAUCUCAGCCUACAAAAAAAAAAAAAAAAGAUGAAAGCCUCUAUUACAAAUCUCUUCUUCAAUGGUAUGAGGGAAUUAGAGUUGCCACAUGCAUGUAACAUUGUGGAUAAAGGAACAUGGAAGCUGCCUGGUGACAUGUUUGAGGGGGCUUAAUCUAUAUGAUAUUACAGUCAUUCAAUGACAAAUCUAGAUAUGACGCGAGAAUCUGCACUACUCUAUCUUGAUGUUUGAUUGAGUGUUUUAAUGGCAAACCAUUCAAUAUCUCAAAUUACAUACUAUUUUCUCUGAUGAACCAUUGUGCACGUGUGUAAUCGGGGCUAUAUUCAACAAUAUUUUUUUGUUGUUUUGCUUUUUUCUAUUUUUUGAUCAGUUAUUCUC